CCCUGGCACAUCCAGCCCCGGCCAGGCAUUUCUGCCGCAGGCAGAUGAGGCGCUGCGGCCGGACCGCUGUCCCCGGUGCUGAAAGGUCGAGGGCGCCCGCGCGAGCCCUCGGUGUUGCUAUCCAGGGUGCUGAGCGCGGGCCGCCGCAGUCCCCGAAGCCAGCCCACCCGCGCCAGCCCUCCGCAGAGCCCUCCCACCCGGCACGACCCGCCCGCCUCCCGCCAGCCUGCAGUUGACGUGGAGCAGGCGGCAUAAAUCAAGUCCGCGGGGCAUGGAGGCUGCUGUCGCUGCAGCAGCUCAGCUUGCCCGGGGCGGGAACUCCCCCUUUCUCCUUUCGCCUCCCCAGCACCCACACCCUGUCUCCCCCUUAAUUCUUCCCUGGAUAAUAGCACCCUAACGACAACAGUCAUAAUAAUAGGGUUAGAACGACAGGGGAGGAAAACUCAACAGCCUAAAUAUCUCUGAAAACUGCAUCGCAAAAUGGAAGAAAGAGGGGGUCCCACUACUGUUUCAAAAGAGAGCCAUGGAAGUCAAAUGCUGAGGAUGGUGGCAUCAUAGGAUGAAUGGAGCUGGGUUCUUGAAACACUGCCUGGAGGAAAGACAGCAAAAAUGCCUCAUGAAUCCAACUGGACUGUUAGGAUGCUCACCCUUGGAGACCAGCAACAAUGUGUGCAGAAACCCAGGCCAUGUGGAGAGGCCCCACAUACGUGUCCAACUGAGGUCCCAGCUGACAGCUGGCAUUGACAUAAUGUUCACUCUGGGGGAAGCCAGCUGCCACGCUGUAAGGACACUCGGGCAGUCCUAUGAAGAGGCCCGUGUGGUGAGAAAGAGAGGCCUCCAGCCAACAGCCAUGUGAGGAAACAGCCUGUCAUCCCAGCUGAGGCCAUCCUAGAUCAGCCAACUGUCAGCUGCUUGUGUGUCAGUGAACCCCAGCCAAGACCGGAAGACCUGCCCAGCUGAGCUCAGCCAAGAUCAGCAAAACCUCUCAGCUUAUAACCUUAUAAACUUACCAAUUUAGGUGUGGUUGUGACACAGAAUUAUUGUAUUAUUGUAUGCAUGGUGAGUAUUGUAUAUUACACAUGGGAAUCAUAGAAACAGUGAAAAGCCAGUAAUUUCUGAGUAUAUAUUAAAGUUAGGGCAAAUUGUGUGAGGUGGAGAAGCCACAUACUCCAAAUUUCUGGCCUGAGACAUUGGAAGAAUGAAUAUGGAUGAUGGAGGUGGAUAUUGAAUCUGAAAUGAAUUUUUCAUUUUGUGAAAUUUUGUGAAGUUUCAUUUUGUGUUGAAUAUCUUGUGACUCACCGAAAUGAAAAUCAUAAAAUAAAAUUUGUCCUUAAUGC
Molecule: long non-coding RNA, 1337 nt
Filed under: Homo sapiens (human)
Lineage: Eukaryota; Metazoa; Chordata; Mammalia; Primates; Hominidae
Description: PREDICTED lncRNA (TCONS_00169662)
Source: RNAcentral